CUCUGUGACUCCUACGGGAGGCAGCAGUGGGGAAUAUGCACAAUGGGGGAAACCCUGAUGCAGCCAUGCCGCGUGUGUGAAGAAGGCCUUCGGGUUGUAAAGCACUUUCAGUAGGGAGGAAGGUAGUGUAGUUAACACCUGCACUAUUUGACGUUACCUACAGAAGAAGCACCGGCUAACUCCGUGCCAGCAGCCGCGGUAAUACGGAGGGUGCGAGCGUUAAUCGGAAUUACUGGGCGUAAAGCGCAUGCAGGCGGCCUGUUAAGUCAGAUGUGAAAGCCCGGGGCUUAACCUCGGAAUUGCAUUUGAAACUGGCAGGCUAGAGUCUUGUAGAGGGGGUAGAAUUUCAGGUGUAGCGGUGAAAUGCGUAGAGAUCUGAAGGAAUACCAGUGGCGAAGGCGGCCCCCUGGACAAAGACUGACGCUCAGAUGCGAAAGCGUGGGGAGCAAACAGGAUUAGAUACCCUGGUG
This 470-nucleotide ribosomal RNA is filed under the name uncultured bacterium. RNAcentral's name for it is "bacterial SSU rRNA". It matches the Rfam family "Bacterial small subunit ribosomal RNA", at positions 328 to 792 of the family's 1533-position model. The record is from RNAcentral.